UACCUGCAGAAUAGCACCGGCUAAUUCCGUGCCAGCAGCCGCGGUAAUACGGAAGGUGCAAGCGUUAAUCGGAAUUACUGGGCGUAAAGCGCGCGUAGGUGGUUUGUUAAGUUGGAUGUGAAAGCCCUGGGCUCAACCUAGGAACUGCAUCCAAAACUAGCUCACUAGAGUACGAUAGAGGGAGGUAGAAUUCAUAGUGUAGCGGUGGAAUGCGUAGAUAUUAUGAAGAAUACCAGUGGCGAAGGCGGCCUCCUGGAUCUGUACUGACACUGAGGUGCGAAAGCGUGGGUAGCGAACAGGAUUAGAUACCCUGGUAGUCCACGCCGUAAACGAUGACAACUAGCUGUUGGGAGACUAUGUCUUUCAGUGGCGCAGCUAACGCUUUAAGUUGUCCGCCUGGGGAGUACGGCCGCAAGGCUAAAACUCAAAUGAAUUGACGGGGACCCGCACAAGCGGUGGAGCAUGUGGUUUAAUUCGAUGCAACGCGAAAAACCUUACCUACUCUUGACAUACUUGGAGGCUCUUGUAAUGAGAGCGUGCCUUUUGGAACCAAGAUACAGGUGCUGCAUGGCUGUCGUCAGCUCGUGUCGUGAGAUGUUCCGUUAAGUCGGAUAACGAGCGCAACCCUUACCCUUAUUUGCCAGCGAUUCGGUCGGGAACUAUAAGGGGACUGCCGGUGAUAAACCGGAGGAAGGUGAGGACGACGUCAAGUCAUCAUGGCCCUUACGAGUAGGGCUACACACGUGCUACAAUGGAGAAUACAGACGGACGCUAAGCCGCGAGGUGGUGCUAAUCCUAGAAAGUUCUUCGUAGUCCGGAUUGGAGUCUGCAACUCGACUCCAUGAAGUCGGAAUCGCUAGUAAUCGCGGAUCAGCAUGCCGCGGUGAAUACGUUCUCGGGUCUUGUACACACCGCCCGUCACACCAUGGAAGUGGAUUGCACCAGAAGUAGAUAGUCUAACCUUAGGGAGGGCGUUUACCACGGUGUGCUUCAUGACUGGGGUGUAGUCGUAACAAGGUACCCG
Molecule: ribosomal RNA, 1024 nt
Filed under: uncultured Gammaproteobacteria bacterium
Lineage: Bacteria; Pseudomonadati; Pseudomonadota; Gammaproteobacteria
Description: bacterial SSU rRNA
Rfam family: Bacterial small subunit ribosomal RNA
Source: RNAcentral